CAACACGGGGAAACUCACUAGUUUAAGACAAGAGUAGGAUUGACAGAUUAAUAGCUCUUUCUUGAUUUCUUGGAUGGUGAUGCAUGGCCGUUUUUAGUUCGUGAAUAUGAUUUGUCUGGUUAAUUCCGAUAACGAACGAGAUCUUAACCUGCUAAUUAGCGGCGAAUACGUUAUAUUCUUAUGUGAAAUUGAAUAUAGCUGAAUUUGCUUAUUUUGAAGAAUACAUUAGGAUACAAUUAAUGUGUCCUUUUCCCUAUUCUACUUAAUUCGCAAUUCAUGCUGUUUCUCUUUUGCAUAGGAAUGUAUUCGUUUGAUUGUAAAGCUUCUUAGAGGAACGAUGUGUGUCUAACACAAGGAAGUUUAAGGCAACAACAGGUCUGUGAUGUCCUUAGAUGAACUAGGCUGCACGCGUGCUACACUGAUAUGUAUAACGAGUUACUAAAAAUAUACUUUUGUUAGGGUAUUUUAUAUACUCUUUCAAAUUGUAUAGUUUUCCUCCACUGAAAAGUGUAGGUAAUCUUUAUCAGUACAUAUCGUGAUGGGGAUAGAUUAUUGCAAUUAUUAAUCUUGAACGAGGAAUGCCUAGUAAGCAUGAUUCAUCAGAUUGUGCUGACUACGUCCCUGCCCUUUGUACACACCGCCCGUCGCUCCUACCGAUUGAAAGAUAUGAUGAAUUGUUUGGACAAGAAAAGAAAGAAUUUAUAUUCUUUUUUUUCUGGAAAAACCGUAAAUCCUAUCUUUUAAAGGAAGGAGAAGUCGUAACAAGGUUUCCGUAGGUGAACCUGCGGAAGGAUCAUUA
RNAcentral lists this non-coding RNA (799 nucleotides) under Plasmodium ovale curtisi. Its description in RNAcentral is "Eukaryotic small subunit ribosomal RNA". It matches the Rfam family "Eukaryotic small subunit ribosomal RNA", at positions 1201 to 1831 of the family's 1831-position model. The record is from Rfam by way of RNAcentral. Lineage: Eukaryota; Apicomplexa; Aconoidasida; Haemosporida; Plasmodiidae.